Non-coding RNA from Benincasa hispida (wax gourd), 1648 nucleotides. NCBI's taxonomy places the organism in Eukaryota, Viridiplantae, Streptophyta, Magnoliopsida, Cucurbitales, Cucurbitaceae. The record is from RefSeq and is a predicted model, not a curated record.
AAUUUACACAUAUAUCCUUUUUUUUUCUCACAUCUCCCUCCUAAUUUCUCUCUUUUUCCCCUUUAUUACCCCAUUCUCCUUCUCUUCCUUCUCCCAACUUUGGUUUCUCUUUCCCCUCUUUUUCGUUCUUCUCAGGAUUCAAGGAUACAGUUGUACAAUCUAUAAAAUAGAUCUUGUUCGAGUAAGGUCGUCUUUUCCUUCUUCAAAUCAACCCUAGGGUUUCUCCACAACCCCAAUCUUAUUUCAUUCCCCUAUUUUUAGGGUUUUAACAAAUACCCAUCUUCCCAAUUACUUCUUUUUUCUCCCUAAUUGAUUCAUUUAUCCCUAAUCUCCCUCAUUUUACUUAAUAGUCCUUUUUUUUCUCUUAUAUUCAUCAUUUAAAAGACAGAUUCCUUCUACUUCAUCAUCAUGCUGCCUCUUCCAGAAAAAUUCGAACUUACAAUCUCCCUUAAUCGAGAGUAUAUGUCUUGAUGCAAUCGGAGACACACAUAUUAUCCACAAAUGAAUAGGCUAAGACCUUUCACAGCUACCUGCAAACCUGUUCCCAAAAAGCUGCUGGCCAUCAAUCAAAUUGAAGGUGGUUGCAUGUUGAAAUCCAAUAAAAACUCUCAAAUUUGAAGAAGAAACUAAGGAAUUUAAGCUGGAAAAGAAUUUUUUGUUACUUCUUCUUCUUCCUCUUCAAACCCAUAAAAAACACCUUCACAAAUUCACUCAAAUUUGAGUUCUACCACUCAAAUUCAAGGCUGAGAAUAGUAGAGAAGAUCUUUUGGUAGUUCACUGUCGAUUUGAAGCUGAUUUGGAGUGAAGAGCAGCUUAGAAUUGGAAGAUUUCAUCAUAGGUAAAUUCAACUUGAAACCCACUUCUAAAAAUGUCUUUUAGCUUACUUUAGAACUCAAAUUAAAUGUAAUUAGAGUGAUUAUUGAUUCUUUUUGCUUCUGUUGCAUGUUAGUUUAUCCCAUUAAUUGGUAUCAGAGCGUGAUUUAAGCACUCAAUUAACGUUAAUUUGAGUUUUGGUAGGUGAAUUUCUAAAGUUGCAUGUUUGGACUGAUAUGGAUGGUUUUUUUCAACUUAGGCUUUAGAUUCUUCUUUGAUUUCAAUGUUAAAUUUAUAAUUGGCUCUUUUUUUAUGAGCUUAUAUUUGUGCUUUAGAGUCUAUAAUUUAUUUGGAGUCAUUAGAGUCCGUUUUAAGCUGUAAUUUGGAGAUUGAAGUAAGCAAGGUCAUGAAACAGCAGCUAUAGGAUUGCAUUCUGCCCAGGCAUCGCUGCAACGCUCCGGCGUUCUUGGUGAAGACAGCAUUGUUGCAACACUGGGAUGAGCGUUGCGACGCUGUUCAUCCCAGCUAGACCGGUUCGGGCGGAAGAGGCUUGGUUCAACCGAUUCAGCUCUAUUCCAAUCUGAUUCAACCCUAUUUGGACUGGUUCAACCCAUUAUGAUUUCUUUGGAGGUCUGGUUCAAGCGGUUCGGGUCUGAUUCGAGUUGGUUCGACACUAAAUUGAAGCUGUUUUGGACCCCUUUUUGUAAUAAUUUAGUUAUUUUGCUUGCUUAGGAUGCCAAAGUUAAACCAUAUUAGUAUUUAUUUAAAUAAUUAUGCAUGUGAUGUAUGUUGUAUUUAAAUUUAAAAAUGUUUGUGCAUAUAGUAUGCCAUUUAG